This is a long non-coding RNA of Vanessa tameamea, 1044 nucleotides long. RefSeq lists it as uncharacterized. The transcript has 2 exons. NCBI's taxonomy places the organism in Eukaryota, Metazoa, Arthropoda, Insecta, Lepidoptera, Nymphalidae. The record is from RefSeq and is a predicted model, not a curated record.
UGUCUGUGAAAUUGAAAACAGAUUUUGACAUUUUAAAUUGUCUUUGGUGUAUUUUGUUUUAUAACAAUAAAGAAACAUAUCUUUUGUGUCUUUUGGAUUAGUUUUAGUAUUUAUAAAUUAUUUGUUAUUGGCAAAUAAAGAAACGAUGGGGAGCUUAGACAGAGGUGUAUUAACUGGAUUUAUAUGUAGAUUAUGUUCUGAAAUGCAUCGUGUUGUUCUUCAUAUUUAUGGAGAAGAAGGUAUUCGAUUAUGUAUAUCUGAAAAAAUCAAUAGAUAUCUUUCAAUAAACGUAUCACGUUCAGAUCCUCUACCUAAAACUAUUUGCAAGAAUUGCUUAGAACGUUUGGAAAAUCAACAUAGGUUGGUGAUGCGUAUCGAACAUGCAGCAAAUAUGUUAAAAGGUCAAAGACGUGCGCGAGUAGGCCGUGGCUGUUAUGUGAGCCUGUGUGACAAUUCCAAUGGACCACCACAUCCUCCUAUACGAAAAUAAGUUAUCCAAAAUUUUAGUUCAGGAUUUAGUUUUGUUAAUUAAGUUAGAUAUAAGAUAAAUGCAUCUGAAUCUAACAAAAAAAUAUGACUACAACUUUUCUCUUAUUAUCCUUCCCUUUAUUAGAGUUGCCAAACAAUAAAAUGUUUCAACUUUAAAGUAGAGAAAUAAUUACAAGCAUUUAAAUAUAUUAAGGUAUUACCUGGGUUGAUCUGCUAUUUAUAAUUAUGAAUGUUUACUUAUAAAUUAGCAGUGCUGUUAGGUAAAUUAGAUUAUAAAAUUUCAAGUUGUAAAUAUUUUAAGAAACAUAUAAUCUGGUUGUUUUAUUAUUCUUAAAUGUAAUUUUAGAAUAAAUUUGUUACGGUUUAAGAAAUAGUAUUAGUAAGCUAAAUUUUAGCAAUAAUAUUAUCAAUAAAAUUUUGUAAACUAAAACUUAUGUAUAUUGGUUAAAUUAAAAUAUAGUAUCAUAAGGUUUUUGAAUUAUUCUCUUGAUAAUUAUGUAAUCACUAAAUUAUGUUUACUCAUAGCUGUUUAAAUAAAUGAAAUUAUGAAAUAUA